AUUGAACGCUGGCGGCAGGCCUAACACAUGCAAGUCGAGCGGUAGCACAGAGAGCUUGCUCUCGGGUGACGAGCGGCGGACGGGUGAGUAAUGUCUGGGAAACUGCCUGAUGGAGGGGGAUAACUACUGGAAACGGUAGCUAAUACCGCAUAAUGUCGCAAGACCAAAGAGGGGGACCUUCGGGCCUCUUGCCAUCAGAUGUGCCCAGAUGGGAUUAGCUAGUAGGUGGGGUAACGGCUCACCUGGGCGACGAUCCCUAGCUGGUCUGAGAGGAUGACCAGCCACACUGGAACUGAGACACGGUCCAGACUCCUACGGGAGGCAGCAGUGGGGAAUAUUGCACAAUGGGCGCAAGCCUGAUGCAGCCAUGCCGCGCGUAUGAAGAAGGCCUUCGGGUUGUAAAGUACUUUCAGCGGGGAGGAAGGUGCUGAGGUUAAUAACCUCAGCAAUUGACGUUACCCGCAGAAGAAGCACCGGCUAACUCCGUGCCAGCCGCCGCCGUAA
RNAcentral lists this ribosomal RNA (504 nucleotides) under uncultured bacterium. RNAcentral's name for it is "partial 16S ribosomal RNA". It matches the Rfam family "Bacterial small subunit ribosomal RNA", at positions 30 to 523 of the family's 1533-position model. The record is from RNAcentral.